RNAcentral lists this ribosomal RNA (437 nucleotides) under uncultured bacterium. RNAcentral's name for it is "bacterial SSU rRNA". It matches the Rfam family "Bacterial small subunit ribosomal RNA", at positions 28 to 468 of the family's 1533-position model. The record is from RNAcentral.
GAUGAACGCUAGCGGCAGGCCUAACACAUGCAAGUCGAGGGGUAGAGGAAGCCUGCUUCCUUGAGACCGGCGCACGGGUGCGUAACGCGUAUGCAAUCUACCUUAUACAGGGGAAUAGCCCAGAGAAAUUUGGAUUAAUGCCCCAUAGUGUUAUUGAAUCGCAUGGUUUAGUAACUAAAGUUCCAACGGUAUAAGAUGAGCAUGCGUCCCAUUAGUUAGUUGGUAAGGUAACGGCUUACCAAGACAAUGAUGGGUAGGGGUCCUGAGAGGGAGAUCCCCCACACUGGUACUGAGACACGGACCAGACUCCUACGGGAGGCAGCAGUGAGGAAUGUUGGACAAUGGGCGCAAGCCUGAUCCAGCCAUGCCGCGUGCAGGAAUAAGGUCCUAUGGAUUGUAAACUGCUUUUAUACAGGAAGGAAACACACCCUCCGUGA